Molecule: ribosomal RNA, 503 nt
Filed under: uncultured bacterium
Lineage: Bacteria
Description: partial 16S ribosomal RNA
Rfam family: Bacterial small subunit ribosomal RNA
Source: RNAcentral
AUUGAACGCUGGCGGCAGGCUUAACACAUGCAAGUCGAGCGGGGUGAUGGUGCUUGCACUAUCACUUAGCGGCGGACGGGUGAGUAAUGCUUAGGAAUCUGCCUAUUAGUGGGGGACAACAUCUCGAAAGGGAUGCUAAUACCGCAUACGUCCUACGGGAGAAAGCAGGGGAUCACUUGUGACCUUGCGCUAAUAGAUGAGCCUAAGUCGGAUUAGCUAGUUGGUGGGGUAAAGGCCUACCAAGGCGACGAUCUGUAGCGGGUCUGAGAGGGUGAUACGCCACACUGGGACUGAGACACGGCCCAGACUCCUACGGGAGGCAGCAGUGGGGAAUAUUGGACAAUGGGGGGAACCCUGAUCCAGCCAUGCCGCGUGUGUGAAGAAGGCCUUAUGGUUGUAAAGCACUUUAAGCGAGGAGGAGGCUCUUUUGGUUAAUACCCAAGAUGAGUGGACGUUACUCGCAGAAUAAGCACCGGCUAACUCUGUGCCAGCAGCCGCAGUAA